UGGGCGGAGCUGCGCGAUGAAGCUUCAUGAACCAUGUCAGAUGGGGAACCAAGCAGCAUUAAGUGAAACGCUUUGUGCGCCGCAGUUUUCUGCCCACUG
This 99-nucleotide signal recognition particle RNA is filed under the name Clostridia bacterium. RNAcentral describes it as "signal recognition particle sRNA small type". It matches the Rfam family "Bacterial small signal recognition particle RNA". Rfam says of the family: The signal recognition particle (SRP) is a universally conserved ribonucleoprotein involved in the co-translational targeting of proteins to membranes. Archaeal SRP consists of a 7S RNA and homologues of the eukaryotic SRP19 and SRP54 proteins. Lineage: Bacteria; Bacillati; Bacillota; Clostridia. The record is from RNAcentral.